Molecule: ribosomal RNA, 354 nt
Filed under: uncultured bacterium
Lineage: Bacteria
Description: bacterial SSU rRNA
Rfam family: Bacterial small subunit ribosomal RNA
Source: RNAcentral
GUAGGGUCCAAGCGUUAAUCGGAAUUACUGGGCGUAAAGCGUGCGCAGGCGGUUGUGCAGGACCGAUGUGAAAUCCCCGAGCUUAACUUGGGAAUUGCAUUGGUGACUGCACGGCUAGCGUGUGUCAGAGGGGGGUAGAAUUCCACGUGUAGCAGUGAAAUGCGUAGAGAUGUGGAGGAAUACCGAUGGCGAAGGCAGCCCCCUGGGAUAACACUGACGCUCAUGCACGAAAGCGUGGGGAGCAAACAGGAUUAGAUACCCUGGUAGUCCACGCCCUAAACGAUGUCAACUAGUUGUUGGGGAUUCAUUUCCUUAGUAACGUAGCUAACGCGUGAAGUUGACCGCCUGGGGAGU